This 74-nucleotide transfer RNA is filed under the name Candidatus Altarchaeales archaeon. RNAcentral's name for it is "tRNA-Thr". It matches the Rfam family "tRNA". From Rfam's summary of the family: Transfer RNA (tRNA) molecules are approximately 80 nucleotides in length. Their secondary structure includes four short double-helical elements and three loops (D, anti-codon, and T loops). Lineage: Archaea; Nanobdellati; Candidatus Altarchaeota; Candidatus Altarchaeia; Candidatus Altarchaeales. The record is from RNAcentral. RNAcentral also lists the same sequence under 1 other name.
GCCUCGGUAGCUCAGCCUGGCAGAGCGGCUGGCUUGUAACCAGCAGGUCGUGGGUUCAAAUCCCACCCGGGGCU